AGCAGAGCUUGGGGAGGGCCCCGGCGUGCUGGGGCCGUUCAGUCGCCGCAGCCGCGGAGUGAGGGCCGAGAGUCUUCCUUAGCUUCCCCGCCAUAGGCGUCGUUUCGUAGCCGGGCUGCUCCGGGGAAGGCCUCGUACAGGAAAACUAGACAAUCCACCAGCCCAGGAGGGGACAAGCAGGAUUAAUCCUCCUCCUCGUCAUCUCUGGCUCCAGCCCCACCCUGGCCCAUCUUGGCAUUCUUCCUCUUCACGUGGCUGGGGUGGCCACCCCCAUAGGGAGGCAGAGGGAGAAGUCGAUUGCUUCUGGGAAAUCAGGCGGACGGUGAAAAACGGGAUGUUCACCACUUGCUCAUGGACACAGAUAUGACCUGGCGGAUGAGCACACAACCGUGGCGGAUGGACACACAACCGUGGCGGAUGGGCACACAACCGAGGCGGAUGGACACACAACCGUGGCGGAUGGACUUACCCAAGCCCAGCUUGAAGACCUGGGUCUGUAGGCAUCUCUCUAAGAAAUCAUCGAUCUUCAGGCCCACAAUGUAAUCCAGCUUCAUCUUUCCCUCAACCAGCUCCCCAGUGCGGACCAGCUGCUGCAGCAGGGCAGUGACUUCAAACAGAAGCCGUGGGUCCUUCUCAUCAAGUGUCAGCGGCUCCCUGGCAGCCUUGUGGAUCUUGACCAGGGUAAAUUUGACCCUCCACACCUCACAUUUGUUCUGGAGCCCAUACUCACCAAUCAGCUUCAGCUUUUGGUCGAGAUGAGAUUUCUCGAAGGGUCUCUGCGGGGUCACGGCCACCAUAACACAUCCGGGCGGGCGUGGUGGCUCAUGCCUGUCAUCCCAGCAGUCUGAGAGGCCCAGGCAGGUGGAUCACUUGAUGUCAGGAGUUGGAGACCAGCCUGGCC
Non-coding RNA from Chlorocebus sabaeus (green monkey), 901 nucleotides. The record is from RefSeq and is a predicted model, not a curated record. Lineage: Eukaryota; Metazoa; Chordata; Mammalia; Primates; Cercopithecidae.